CAUUCAAACCAAAAACAUGUUCCAGUCUGACUCCCUUUCUGAAUCUCCCAAAGAUUUCUCUCUGGAUAGAUCUGAUGGGUGUUAAUACAAUAUUGUUUGUAUAGAGACUCUGUAUUAUGCUAUAGUUUAGAUACUACAUACCCGAAAUUGCUGCACCGUAUCAGAAUGAACAUUUACGUAUCCAUAGUGGAACAGCUCUCUAAAUUCUACUAGCCAAUAGUUUUGUAUUAUCAUAGACCCGCCCUGAUUUGAACCAGUAUGUUCUUCUAAACACCUGUAUAGAUCUCUUUUAUGGGCAUACAGGUGUCCUGCUGUACGCUGCUGCUGGGCUGGGUGGAUUGUCAUUGCUCAUAUUUGUGUUCAUUGCUCACUUUGCGUGUAAGAGGACAGUCAACAGAUCCCAAGGUCCUGGAUUAUAUACUGUGUAUGCAGAAGUAAAAGGAGUUCAGUCUGAAGUCAACCAGCCAAACAGAUCAUCAUCAUCAUCAUCAUCAUCCACUGAAUCACAUGAAGAGACUCUGGAGAACCCUCUGUACAGCACUGUGGACCUGAAGGAAAGACUAGAUUUAAACAUCUACUCUGCAGCCUACUGACUUACUAAUCACUCUGAUAACCUGCUUAUUCAUCAUGCUGCAGGAACCUUCUCAUGCUUAUGUAGUUUAGAGCUAUUAAGUAGCAAAAUCAGAUAUGCUGAUGUUCUAGCAUCUCAUUUUUGGUUGUGUUAAAUGUAGCCUGUAUUAGAGGAAAGAUUCUAAUAGAAAGUCCAUAUAUUUUAUAAAUCCACUUGCAUGUUUAUUGUAAACUAUUUGGAACAUUUUCAGUACAUAAAACUAACGUCUCAGCCAGUAAACAAACAUCUCUAUCUGAACUGUUUUAAUUCUUUCAGUAUGAUGUAUUUGUAUGAAUGCGCAGGAACUUUCAGGUAGGUGAAGGUGGUGUUAGGAGUCUUGCCCUUAUUGGUAUAGUGUAGGGUGUUUGUCCAUGCAGGGGAUUGAACCCCAGAGGUGUUACCCACUACACUAUCCCAAACAUGAUUAAAAUGACUAUUUUUCAAUAAAUAUAAAUAUUAAUAAAGUAAAUCUAAUACAAACAGUGCUGUGUAAAGGCCAGAGGCCAGCUUUUAUUUUUUGACUCUCAGUCAAAACAGCAAUUAGUUACAAGUUAUUCACUUUUCAGCAUCAGGACAAAAAUUGGUGUGUCCACCUGUCACGAUGUGUCCAUUUGGACCUGCCUAGUCUGGAUAGGCUGACCAGUUUUUGUUCCUCUCUGGCUCCACCCCUUUAACAUUAUACACACCUGCACCUAGUGUAUGGGCUUAUUUACCCUCAUGUAUAGCCUAAAGUUUCACUCGCUCUUUUUGUGAGCUCUGAGCAAUGUUCUUUGUGUAAAUGUUUUGACCCUUGUCUUGGUUCCUAGUUAUUUGAAACUGAGUACAGGCAGUUUGUCUCAACACCAUGGUCAGAUAUUUCACUUUACUGACAAACAAAAAAAAAGAGCAUUUCCUGAAGGCUGAUUUGAGCAUGGUUCUGGAAUAGGAUGCUACCAUUACAACAAGCAAGUUGUGCACUGGGAGCUUCACCUUGGCCGAGCAGCUGCUUGCAAGCCUUACAUCACCAAGUACAAUGACAAGUGUCUGAUAGAGUGGUGUAAAGCACACCACCACUGGACUCUAGAGCAGUGGAAACAUAUUCUGUGGACUGACUAAUCACACUUCUCUGUCCUUAUCUGUCCGUCUGACG
Long non-coding RNA from Pygocentrus nattereri (red-bellied piranha), 1739 nucleotides. Lineage: Eukaryota; Metazoa; Chordata; Actinopteri; Characiformes; Serrasalmidae. The record is from Ensembl.